Molecule: ribosomal RNA, 529 nt
Filed under: uncultured bacterium
Lineage: Bacteria
Description: bacterial SSU rRNA
Rfam family: Bacterial small subunit ribosomal RNA
Source: RNAcentral
CUUGACAUCCAGAGAACUUGGCAGAGAUGCCCUGGUGCCUUCGGGAACUCUGAGACAGGUGCUGCAUGGCUGUCGUCAGCUCGUGUUGUGAAAUGUUGGGUUAACGUCCGCAACGAGCGCAACCCCUAUCCUUUGUUGCCAGCGAUUCGGUCGGGAACUCAAAGGAGACUGCCGGUGAUAAACCGGAGGAAGGUGGGGAUGACGUCAAGUCAUCAUGGCCCUUACGAGUAGGGCUACACACGUGCUACAAUGGCGCAUACAAAGAGAAGCGACCUCGCGAGAGCAAGCGGACCUCAUAAAGUGCGUCGUAGUCCGGAUCGGAGUCUGCAACUCGACUCCGUGAAGUCGGAAUCGCUAGUAAUCGUAGAUCAGAAUGCUACGGUGAAUACGUUCCCGGGCCUUGUACACACCGCCCGUCACACCAUGGGAGUGGGUUGCAAAAGAAGUAGAUAGCUUAACCUUCGGGAGGGCGUUUACCACUUUGUGAUUCAUGACUGGGGUGAAGUCGUAACAAGGUAGGCGUAGACGU